CUACGGGGCGCUGCAGACGAGAAAACUUUGCAAUGUGCGAAAGCACGACAAGGUUAAUCCGAGUGGUUUGUGCUAAACGAACCUUUUGACAGUCCUAGAAACACUGUUGAAUAAGGGGUGGGCAAGUUCUGGUGUCAGCCGCCGCGGUAAAACCAGCACCUCAAGUGGUCAGGAUGAUUAUUGGGCCUAAAGCAUCCGUAGCCGGCUCUGUAAGUUUUCGGUUAAAUCUGUACGCUCAACGUACAGGCUGCCGGGAAUACUGCAGAGCUAGGGAGUGGGAGAGGUAGACGGUACUCGGUAGGAAGGGGUAAAAUCCUUUGAUCUAUUGAUGACCACCUGUGGCGAAGGCGGUCUACCAGAACACGUCCGACGGUGAGGGAUGAAAGCUGGGGGAGCAAACCGGAUUAGAUACCCGCGUAGUC
This 422-nucleotide ribosomal RNA is filed under the name uncultured archaeon. Its description in RNAcentral is "partial 16S ribosomal RNA". It matches the Rfam family "Archaeal small subunit ribosomal RNA", at positions 323 to 746 of the family's 1478-position model. The record is from RNAcentral.